RNAcentral lists this ribosomal RNA (492 nucleotides) under uncultured bacterium. Its description in RNAcentral is "partial 16S ribosomal RNA". It matches the Rfam family "Bacterial small subunit ribosomal RNA", at positions 29 to 507 of the family's 1533-position model. The record is from RNAcentral.
AGUGAACGCUGGCGGUAGGCCUAACACAUGCAAGUCGAACGGCAGCACAGUAAGAGCUUGCUCUUACGGGUGGCGAGUGGCGGACGGGUGAGGAAUACAUCGGAAUCUACUUUUUCGUGGGGGAUAACGUAGGGAAACUUACGCUAAUACCGCAUACGACCUACGGGUGAAAGCAGGGGAUCUUCGGACCUUGCGCGAUUGAAUGAGCCGAUGUCGGAUUAGCUAGUUGGCGGGGUAAAGGCCCACCAAGGCGACGAUCCGUAGCUGGUCUGAGAAGAUGAUCAGCCACACUGGAACUGAGACACGGUCCAGACUCCUACGGGAGGCAGCAGUGGGGAAUAUUGGACAAUGGGCGCAAGCCUGAUCCAGCCAUACCGCGUGGGUGAAGAAGGCCUUCGGGUUGUAAAGCCCUUUUGUUGGGAAAGAAAAGCAGCAGGUUAAUACCCCGCUGUUCCGACGGUACCCAAAGAAUAAGCACCGGCUAACUUCGUG